GCUCUGGGCAGAGGACACCUGAGAACUAUGCUGAGGCUGCUCCCAACUGCGCGGCUGCUCCAGGCCCCCCUGAGGAGCCAGGUGGCCCCCAGGGCACCAAUCUCUGCCAAGCCAGCCAGGACACCCACCUCCGCCAAGGAGCAGGCAGUCGGGCUCAUCAGCUUUUUCUGCAUCUUCCUGCUCCCUGCGGGCUGGAUCUUAUCCCACCUGGACCACUACAAGAAGAGCUCCUUCGAGUGAAGCUCCACGCAUGGGUGAAACGUGACAUUAAAUGCCGCUCCCGUGUGCUUCUCUGUA
Loxodonta africana (African savanna elephant) is the source of this 297-nucleotide long non-coding RNA. RefSeq lists it as uncharacterized. The record is from RefSeq and is a predicted model, not a curated record. NCBI's taxonomy places the organism in Eukaryota, Metazoa, Chordata, Mammalia, Proboscidea, Elephantidae. The transcript has 2 exons.